RNAcentral lists this small RNA (73 nucleotides) under Salmonella enterica subsp. enterica serovar Heidelberg. RNAcentral's name for it is "partial RtT sRNA". It matches the Rfam family "RtT RNA", at positions 59 to 130 of the family's 130-position model. Rfam says of the family: This family represents a bacterial cis-regulatory element known as RtT RNA. The exact function of RtT is unknown although it is thought that it may be involved in changing the cellular response in relation to amino acid starvation. The record is from RNAcentral. RNAcentral also lists the same sequence under 24 other names. Lineage: Bacteria; Pseudomonadati; Pseudomonadota; Gammaproteobacteria; Enterobacterales; Enterobacteriaceae.
GAGAAAGCGUUGCCGCAGGCAACGACCCGAAGGGCGAAGCGCGCAGCGCUGAGUCAUCCUUCCCCCACCACCA